UUGAACGCUGGCGGCAUGCUUUACACAUGCAAGUCGAACGGCAGCGCGGGCUUCGGCCUGGCGGCGAGUGGCGAACGGGUGAGUAAUACAUCGGAACGUGCCCAGUAGUGGGGGAUAGCUCGGCGAAAGCCGGAUUAAUACCGCAUACGACCUGAGGGUGAAAGCGGGGGAUCUUCGGACCUCGCGCUAUUGGAGCGGCCGAUGGCAGAUUAGCUAGUUGGUGGGGUAAAGGCCUACCAAGGCGACGAUCUGUAGCUGGUCUGAGAGGACGACCAGCCACACUGUGACUGAGACACGGCCCAGACUCCUACGGGAGGCAGCAGUGGGGAAUUUUGGACAAUGGGCGAAAGCCUGAUCCAGCAAUGCCGCGUGUGUGAUGAAGGCCUUCGGGUUGUAAAGCACUUUUGGCGGGAACGAAAAGGACUGUGCCAAUACCACGGUCCGAUGACGGUACCCGCAGAAUAAGCACCGGCUAACUACGUG
Molecule: ribosomal RNA, 483 nt
Filed under: uncultured bacterium
Lineage: Bacteria
Description: partial 16S ribosomal RNA
Rfam family: Bacterial small subunit ribosomal RNA
Source: RNAcentral